Molecule: non-coding RNA, 5988 nt
Organism: Rattus norvegicus (Norway rat)
Lineage: Eukaryota; Metazoa; Chordata; Mammalia; Rodentia; Muridae
Source: RefSeq, a predicted model, not a curated record
ACAGCUCCUCCAGAAAACACAGCUGUCACAACCAUCUAAAGGGACUAUGUGCAACCGAUAGAACCAUUCCCAUGAAUCACCCAACUGUGGCAUAGUCAAGCUCUGCUGCCUUCAGCAAAGGUUUUCCUACCUACAGAAUGGGGAACAUGCUUGCUUUAACACGGUUGGAUUUUAUCAGCCCAGGAUUCUCUGUGACUCAGGGAUAGCAUCUGCCUUCCCCAAUCCACAGGAAAGUCACUUCCACAGGCAAGCUCUGCUGGGAUUGUAGGCCAGGUGUCAGGUGUAAUCAAACCCAGGGGGGCAAAGGUCUCCAUCUGCAUCUGUGUCCCGUUGGUGGCAAGUCUGGGGACCACGCCAUUCUUGACUCACUUCCCUUUCCCUGUCUCUUACCCUCAGACCACAAUGACUGCCACCCACAACUUGGACAAGCGGAACCUGCCUGUUUCUCCACUCUGAACACAAGCCUUCCACAGAUUUACUCUUUAUAUAAAAGAAAGACCACAGGCCACCAUCUCUCCUAGGGGAUUGUACAUCAUGGUCCUAUGUGACACCAGGUUUCUGAAAGUUGCAGCCAGACACUACAUUAGACCCACGUGAGACCAGUAGAAUUAAUGACCUGCAUUCCUGCAUCGUGUUUCUUCCCAGUGCAUUCCUGACUCAAAGGCAACCUUCUCUGCGGUACCUUCUGAACUAAGGUCUGGGAGAUUAAACAGUAACUUUGGGUGUGAAUGUGUGUUUUUAUGAGUGCCAGUGUGGUGUAUGUGUGGGUAGCCACACAUGUGUGGAGGCUAGAGGACAACUGUUUUAUUCCUCAGCUGCCAUGCACCUUGGCUUUGGGGACAGGCUCUCUCACUGGCUUGGUGUUUGCUGAGUGAGCUAAGCUGACUGUCCCUGCCUCUCCAGGGCUGGGAUUACAAACCCAAGUCAUCACACACCUUCUUUAUGUUAGACCCAGGUAUCUAUGAUCCCAUUCGGGCCCUCAUGUUCACAUGGCAAGUAUUUUACCAACUCAACUUUCUCACAAUCCUAAAGCAUAAUUUUUAAGUAAACAUGGGCAAAGAUGGGGCCGACCACAUGCAAAUGAACUGUCCUGCAGGACUGAGCAGAAGGAACUGCACAGUCCCUACCAACAGGCUCGAGAUUUCCUGCCAAUUGCACAAUGCAAGAUCGAAGGUUUCUCCUUAAAAAUAGCGUCAAGCCCUUUUGUUCUUACUUCUACAAAAGUACAACGGUCUCUCAAAGGUCCCGGAGAAAUACAGCAUUUUGACGAGAUAAAAACUGGCUACUUUAGGUUCCUCUGAUUUCUCUCAGAAGUCUUUCAAUGGGUCGUUAAUGAAAUGAAGAACACAUAGCCAACCAAGGUGCAGAAGAACUGAACUCUGUCUCCAGUCUGGAUCUGUUAGCAUCAGUGUCAUCAACCAUGGAGUUCUUGCAGCGGUGUUUUGUGCCUUAGCAAGGAUUGUAAGUUUGUUUGGUUCUUGUCCUAGCUUCUAAAAACGGCACAUAUCUUAUCUGCACAUAUUAAGCAUUCCUGUACGGAUGUAUCCACCACAGACAUGAGACCUCAGAGCAGGAAUUCAUGGAGAGCCGGCAGCGGGAGCUCCUUAGUGUGACCUACUUACAGAGGCAGUCUUCCGCGUGGCAAUUAGCAGUUUCUCCCUGCGGUUUGUUCAGCAGGAUUGACAGGGAAUUCUGCCUAGCGAUGGACCAGGCGCUUCCCUCAGCCCUGCUGGGUGCCUGCUGCUCUCUGGAUAGCGGCAUUCCUUAGGAGUUUGACACAGUAGGGAAAGAGACCGGUUCACUGUGAGACCUGCUACUCACUCUCUUACAGUGCAUCGGCCCCCCUUCCCACUGCACAGUGGCUGCCGGGGCUCUGGGUGGGUGGCAGGCAUGUGGCCAUCGUGACAGUGAACCAUGGAGUCAGAGUUCCAUCACGUAUGCUGCAUACACAGGAGCCUUCUUCUAAAGGCGGCGCUGAAUUUUAGGACAGUAUCAACACAAGCUAAUUUGGCUCCUUCAGAACUAGGGAAAGUACUCUCUUCAAAUUGAAAAGGAAACAAAAAACACAUGGGCUCGCAAGAUAGGGAUGUGCUUGUCUCUCCGCUUUAAAAUAAACUCCGAGGAUAUAAAAAUAGCUUUGGGGAGCAACUAAGCAUGCGCAGGCUAGUGCGCUCUUGUCUCCUGGUGCCUUUUAGUUUCCCACAGAGUGAAUCAAUUGCUUUGUUAGUUUCCCUGGGUAGGGAAAACAUGCGACUUUAAAUUGGCUCUUUUGGGUAUUCAUCCAAUGAGUACAUCUAUGAAACUCACCAUAAAAAAUAACCGAGCCGGAGGACAGAAAGGAAACAGAUUUUCGCGUACCUGCUUGCUGCGCGGUCUGUGGUAUUUGCUGACUCCUCUGAGCGCUGUACUGGACUGAGGCCAGGGGUCGGUACUGCUGUGUGGUUGAGGUAGGGUACUGACCAGAUGGGUAGUAAUAUACGGACAUCUGUGGGACAGGAGGAGCGAGAAACGGAGAUGAGAGCUGUGCACAAGAAACAUAUUUUUUUUCCACAUAAAACCCACUGUUUCGAUAUAGUGUCAUUUAACCAUGGCAGAUUUUGAAAUUGAGCCCUGACCAUCCUCUCUCACACCUGUUUCAGUGUGCAUGCUCUUUCUCUCUCCCCUGAUGGGAGAUCUCUCCUGUCCGUGCUUUGGAAGCCAUCCCCAAACAAGAACUUUAAAGAGAUUUGCAAUCCCACUACAGGGGAAGAGGACUUAGUCUGGGGGGGGGGCACCUAUCUACCCUGCUGGGUUAAGGGGCCAGAGGCUCCCUGCUGACUGACUGACUGACUGACAAUGCUCAGUCUUCAGAUGUUAAGGACAACCUGGGUCAGGUGCUCCAGCUGGUUCCAUAUGGAACAGAAAUGAACUUGGGAGGAGUCCCGCCCACUUGGUGACUGUGUCAUGAACAGCAAAAGGCUACUUGAUGUCCAGCCAAGGCUUCAAAGAGUGAUUUAUACAUAGCCUGCAUCAAAAUUUUCGGUAUAUGCAAUACAAGUGGAACCUAUGGUAAGAUAGUGCGUAUGCAUCUUCUGCAAACUUACUUCUAGUAGUGGGAAUUGAAUUUAGGCGUUUAUGCAUGCCCAGUAAGCCCCUUAUCAAUCACCUCACUGUAUCCCUAGGCAGUGUGUGUGUGUGUGUGUGUGUGUGUGUGUGUGUGUGUGUGUACGUUCAUGUGUGUGACCCUGAGUGUAGAGGCCAGAGGUCAACCCCUUAGGUGUCAUUCCUCAGGCACUACUCAGGUUGUUUGAAACAAGAUUCUCACUAAUGUGAAAAUUGCUGAUCAGUGAGGUCAGCUGGCAAGAGGAACCCCAGGGCAUCUACUUCUCUCCAAUGCCCGGCAUGAGCCACUCUGCAUGGCCUUUAAAUGUGGAUGUGGGGGAUCAAACACAGAUAUUCAUGUUUGUAAGCAUUUUACUGACUGACAUUCUUGGGGAUCCUUUGAUUUUGAAGUUUGAGACUCAUACUUAGCUGACCAGCCUUUGACUCAUUCUGUAUCCCAGGAAGGCCUUGAAUUCACGAUUUUCCUCAAAUGCUGGGGUUACAGGUCUGUAUCCCUAAUCCAGCCAACCUUCUGUUUACUGUUUGAUGACUGACAGCCAGUGAAAACACCCUAGAAUGCCUCCUUAGAAGACAUCUUUGCCUACCUAACAAUGCCAUGUAAUGCUGGUUUCUUACUGGUUUCAGCUAACGCCGCUCAUCUCUUGUCUCUUCUCAUCUUCUUUAGAGGGAGAAUAGUGGUCCUCCGCUGUACCCAAGGGUUUACAGGUUGGGUAUGUAGAAGAAGAUUUUGAACCAAUUAUUUUGUAUCUCUGAUUUCUAUGCCUAUUUUUUUUGAUUCACUUAUCUCAGUAAGGCAUUAGUGUUCCAUUUGCUACUAGAGUGUGUGGUAUGUUCCCGUCCCUCGGGAGGAAAGUGGAAGCAAAGGAAACAUUGUAUGGCUGUGGUUUUGCAAUGCCAUGGAAUCAACAAGAACUUCAUUCUCUCUAGUACGGUAGAUGACCAAGGGGAAGAGGCUGGGAGGGCCUAGAACUAUUCUGCCUCAUUGCUUAGCAAUUAGUCAUUUACUAAUUACACAUUGUAUAUGGUCAUUUAACCUUUCUCUCUGUCUCUCUCUCAUUGUGUGCUUGUGUGCUUGUGUGUGUGUGCUUGUGUGCUUGUGUGUGAGUGCUUGUGUGUGUGUUUGUGUGCUUGUGUGUGUGUGUGUGUGUGUGUGUGUGUGUUCAGAGUAUGAUGUUGGGUGUCUUCUUCAUCAACUCCUCUUGGUUUUUAGAAUUAUUUGUUUUAUUUUUCCUGUAUGAAUGUUUUGCCUGACUGUGUGCACGUACACCAUAUUUGUGCCUGGUGUCUGUGGAGAUCAGAAGAGGAAAUCACAUCCCUCAGAGCUGGGAUUAUGAAUAACGGUAAACCCCUAUGUAAGUGCUGGUACUUGAAGCCCAGGUCGUCUGUAAGGGCAGUGGGCGUUCGAACCUAUGAGUCAUUUCUCUAGUCCCUUCAUCUUCGUACUAAACCUGCAGGUCAACAGCUUGUUUAAACUGGGCGGUCAAUUAAGUCUAGGGAUCUGCUUGAUUCUGUCCUGGACGGUCCCCAGUUCUGGUGUUACAGACGUGCACUGUUGCACCCAGCUUCUAACAGGUGCUGGCAGUCCCAGUCCAGAUCUUCAUGCCUCCAUGCCAAGCAUGGGAUAAGCUAUGCCAUCUCCCUAGCCUGCUGUCUCUUUUUUAUAAAGCAAUUCAAAAAUGUGAAGAAUUCAUGAGCAAAUGGAUUUGGAUCUAUUCUGGAAAAUUGUGAUACAGUUAAAAGUCACUAUUACAUAUCACAUAGAUGCCCCCCAAUAUUUAGGACAAGAACAAUUGCUAUCUAACUUAUCAGCCUUAUUUGUGCACAUCGGUUAGUCCAUUUUUGUAUCUUUAGAAAAAAGAGUAUGUGUCGUUUCAAUACAAGCUUAUGAACACAAUUUCCAUUUCCUAAAAAUACUAUUUCAGUGUGUGCAUAAAUGCAUGUUUGUGGAAAGGUGGAGAUAGAUGUGGGUGUCUGCAUGCUGUGGAAUUGGGAUGGAGGUCAGAAGACAAUUUGUGAGGGUCUGUUCUUUCCUUCCAGCAUACGGGCCUAAGGAUCAAACUGAGGUUGUCUGCCUUGGUCUCAGCAACCCAGGCUAUCUAUUCUGCAGUCUUCUAGCAUUGAAUAUGAAACAACAACAACAACAACAACAACAACAACAACAACAACAACAACAACAGCACAGUUCAAAGGGAAAGAAUGGAGAUCCAAUACUUGGAAAAUUCCCAAUGAGCCUUCGUAAUUUGGAAAAAGGUCGAACUUGAUAUAUUUAGAUUUUUAGGAGCUACUUGUUUCUGUUUGUUUAGUCUUGUUCUUCUGUAUUGAUUGUACUUCUUUCCGUGACCAGCAAAGGUUUUGACACCUUUACACGGCCCUUCUCCACAGUGUGUCAUUGCUUAUUCCUUAGGAAAGGUGACGUCAGACACUCAGAAGCUAAUGGGUGCUUGGCCCAUCCCAAUCUUCCUCAUGCCUUCCUUCCUUUCCCCUCUGUCCUAGGGGAAGGAAAGUGAGCUGAGCCCACGGACAUAUUUGGAAGGACCAAUGUGACAAACUGUGAUGGGAGGGGGGUAGAGGAGGAAAGGAACAAAGAUGGUGUGCAAGAGGAUAGGAUGUCUACGUUAAAUGACUGGAUUAAGGUUUCUCUUAGCCUCACGUGCAUGAAUGGCACACAUACGCCAGAGGAAACGCUCCUCUGAAGAAAGGGAACACAUUUCCAUAGACACCUCCAGAUUGGCUCAGCGGAACUCUCCCCAGCGUUGCCUGGCUGGCUAGCUAAACUUUAAGGUGGUUAUUACCUCAGAAGUGACUACGAGUUGUGACCUACACCUGUAUCAAUGGAUCUCUUUGUUCCCAAUAAUCAAGCUAAUAAAUCAAUGAUUUAUAGUAAAA